This 484-nucleotide ribosomal RNA is filed under the name uncultured bacterium. RNAcentral's name for it is "partial 16S ribosomal RNA". It matches the Rfam family "Bacterial small subunit ribosomal RNA", at positions 28 to 507 of the family's 1533-position model. The record is from RNAcentral.
AUUGAACGCUGGCGGCAUGCUUUACACAUGCAAGUCGAACGGCAGCGCGGGCUUCGGCCUGGCGGCGAGUGGCGAACGGGUGAGUAAUGCAUCGGAACGUGCCCAGUAGUGGGGGAUAGCCCGGCGAAAGCCGGAUUAAUACCGCAUACGACCUGAGGGUGAAAGCGGGGGACCGAAAGGCCUCGCGCUAUUGGAGCGGCCGAUGUCGGAUUAGCUAGUUGGUGGGGUAAAGGCUUACCAAGGCGACGAUCCGUAGCUGGUCUGAGAGGAGGACCAGCCACACUGGGACUGGAACACGGCCCAGACUCCUACGGGAGGGAGCAGUGGGGAAUGUUGGGCAAUGGGGGCAACCCUGGUCCAGCCAUGCCGCGUGCGGGAAGAAGGCCUUCGGGUUGUAAACCGCUUUUGUUCGGGAAGAAAUCCUCUGGGCUAAUACCCCGGGGGGAUGACGGUACCGGAAGAAUAAGCACCGGCUAACUACGUG